RNAcentral lists this ribosomal RNA (336 nucleotides) under uncultured bacterium. RNAcentral's name for it is "bacterial SSU rRNA". It matches the Rfam family "Bacterial small subunit ribosomal RNA", at positions 28 to 334 of the family's 1533-position model. The record is from RNAcentral.
GAUGAACGCCGGCGGUGUGCCUAAUACAUGCAAGUCGAACGCGUUGGCCCAACUGAUUGAACGUGCUUGCACGGACUUGACGUUGGUUUACCAGCGAGUGGCGGACGGGUGAGUAACACGUAGGUAACCUGCCCCAAAGAGGGGGAUAACGGCUGGAAACGGUCGCUAAUACCGCAUGAAAUGUUCGGAUGGCAUCGUCUGAACAUCAAAGAUUUAUCGCUGAAAGAUGGGCUCGCGUCUGAUUAGCUAGUUGGUGAGGUAACGGCUCACCAAGGCGACGAUCAGUAGCCGGUCUGAGAGGAUGAACGGCCACAUUGGGACUGAGAUACGGCCCAG